Molecule: long non-coding RNA, 2672 nt
Organism: Marmota flaviventris (yellow-bellied marmot)
Lineage: Eukaryota; Metazoa; Chordata; Mammalia; Rodentia; Sciuridae
Source: RefSeq, a predicted model, not a curated record
AAGGGCUGGUGCCUUCUUGCUGUGUCCUCACAUGGCCGGAGGAGCAAAAGGCUAACCAGCUCCCUCGAGCCUCUUCACAAGGGCGCUAACUCCGUCCAGGAGGCCCCACCCUUGUGAUUAAAACCGUCCCUAAGCACCCCCCUUAGUACUCUCACACGGGCAACCAAGUUUCAGUGCAGAUUCUGUAGGAGACACAACAUCCCAUCCAGAGCAGUAAGAGACGGCCAGACGGUUUUCACAGUGGCUGAGCCGUGACACUGGGACCAGCUGUGACGGGAGGUGAUUCUGUCAGCCUAUACUUGCUAUUUUCAAUCUCAAGUGGUGCCCCUCCUGCUGGGUAUAAAGGGUAACUGGAGGGUUUCCGUUUCCUGUCUCUUGAGGGUUGCUAACGUCUUUUCAAGUGCGAGUCGGCUGUUUGGAUGCAUCUUCUCUUUGAAAGCUCAGUGUGCACCUCCAGUCAACAGGGAGGAUCUGGGGCUGGAAGAGCAGAUCUUCGUCCUUCCUGUCCCUUCUGAUGGCUGGCUGGAAAGACGUCCACCCAGGGACCCUGGUUCGGCUGUGAUUUUCUCCAUUUUUCUCAGCAGGAAGCUCGGGAGGCGCCCUGACCCGCCGGCUGCACUCGUGGGUGAGUGCGGAGUGCGGCAUCCCGGAGCCGGGGCCUCCAACAAGGUGGCACUGCCUGGCCCCGCAGGCCACGUGACAGGCAUGCUCUCUGUCUGGAUCCCUGUGUCCCUGUCCAGUCUGUGUCGUGACUCACAAGGCAGCCAUCAGAGUACCCCAAAACGUCCUCCCUACGGUGUCAGGGACAGCGAUGAGCAAGACCCAAAUAAAAUGUGCAGCACAUUCCCUCACGUCUGGACAGUGACAGAAAAUCAAGCUACAAUUGCUUUCGUGCCUUCUGAGAGCUGGGUCUCUGCCCGAAGGCGGGGAUGUAAAUAAGGCUGAUGUUUACCUCUCUGUUGCGAAUCGAUCUGAGCCUACAGGAGCAGUGCUGUCUGCAGAUGGCUGCUCUAGCUCCUGCCAUUGCAUCUGCCUUUCAGCUGAGGCAAGAAAAGGAAGGGGAGGUACCUACCUUUCUUUUUGAAGGCAUUAACCGGAAAUUGUAGGACUCGUUUCUGCUCUCAUUCCAUUGGUCAGAAUCCAGUCAUGUGACCCCGUCUAUGUGCGUGGCAAGCACCUAUCUAAAUAGCUGUGUCUUUUAUUCCUGCAGAAGAUAGGGGCGGGGGACACUGGGGACACAACCGCAGAGUCUUCCUCAGUGACUAGUGGCCAGGCGCUGUUUCAGGUGGUGAGGUAGAACAAUGGACAGGAAGCCUGAGGCCGGCAAGAUGGCUUGGAUCAAUGUUCCGCCCCAGUCCAGGUCGGAAAAGUCUGGCCCCGCCCGUGUGGGGUGCCUGGCUUCUGACACGUGAGAAGAAAAGACUUUCCGCGAACCGCCUGCUGCUCUCUCCUUCCGUCUCACUGGUCACCUGGGUCACAGGGCUUCCCUCGCUGCAAGGGAGCCUGGGACAUCGGGAGCAGGGUCUCAGGAUUGGCUUGGAGCAGGGCACGGAGCCUCUUCCCGGGCAGCAGGGUUCUGUUGAGGCACAGAAGUGGGGUGUCCCCAGCUCUUGCUCGGCAGUGGCUUCUGUGCCGGUGAAGUGAAGUGUGUGUUGGUGGGUGCCCGCGGGAGUCACCCAUCCUCCGUGUUGUUGGCCAUUAACUUCAGGGUCCCCUCCACCUGCAGUGUGACUUGGAAAAAGAGAAAAUAAUUUUGCAACGAGCUUCACCUGUUUGCCGCGGGCGGCUUGUCCCUCCCUGUGUGGCUGGUUUGCAAGUGUCUGGGCAGUGGCACAGCUGUGCCUGGCUUCUCUAUGUGACAAGCCACUUGGAAAAACACCUCCACAUCUCUGGUCUCUUUUCUGCCAUUCGUGAUGGGAGUCAUCGAUUGUGCACUGGAGAGUUUUAUUUUGAGCUUGUUCUAUCUAGUAAACUCCAAUGGUUUCCCCCAGGGACGCCUCGAUGUGUUUUGGGGGGAAAAUGUGAAAACUUCACGGGGUCCUUUCCCAGCCAGCACCAGGCAGCUGACAGAGGAGCCCACACGGGUCACAGGUGAUGCAGCUCUGGUGUUGGGUGUUUAUGGCUGUGCUUUCUGUGUUUCACAAAAUCAUACAUUUCUGAGCCAACACAUUCCACAGGCAUAUCAAAUCCUAUUUCACUAGGUUACGACUGAGUAUAUUUUGGAUUAUACAAUUUUUGUUGAAAUUUUGACUCUUACAUUGAUAUUUCAACAAUUCCAUUUUGCCUUAUAUGUUAUGUUUACUUUUCUUAUUUGGAGCUAUCGUACAACUGCAAACACUUAUUGAGAUCUUGCCACGUGCCAGAUGUUGGCAGUUUUGAUUAUUAUUUAUUUUUUGUGGUGCUGGGGAUUGAACCCAGGGCCAUGCACACACUGGGUAAGUUCGACUCUGAGCUAACUCUAACCCACACAGAGGCAGUUUUUAAAACAUGUCCCAUUUUUAAAAAAUACUUCUGUUGUGGGACGGGGUCUAUGUUCCUUCCUCUCCAAUCUGGGCUGGCCCAGGCUUGGUGGCCCUGGGAAGCUCAAGCAGCAGAUCACAAGUUGGAGUCCAGCCUCAAUGAUUUAGGGAGAUCCUGUCUCAAAAUAAAAUAAAGAACGGGCUGCGGGUGUA